CCUACGGGAGGCAGCAGUGGGGAAUAUUGCACAAUGGGGGAAACCCUGAUGCAGCGACGCCGCGUGCGUGAAGAAGUAUUUCGGUAUGUAAAGCUCUAUCAGCAGGGAAGAAAAUGACGGUACCUGAUUAAUAAGCCCCGGCUAACUCCGUCCCAGCAGCCGCGGUAAUACGUAGGGGGCAAGCGUUCUACGGCUUUACUGGGUGGAAAGGGAGCGUAGACGGCAGCACAAGUCUGGAGUGAAAUGCCGGGGCUGAACCCCGGAACUGCUUUGGAAACUGUGCAGCGAGAGUGCAGGAGAGGUAAGUGGAAUUCGUAGUGUAGCGGUGAAAUGCGUAGAUAUUAGGAGGAACACCAGUGGCGAAGGCGGCUUACUGGACUGUAACUGACGUUGAGGCUCGAAAGCGUGGGGAGCAAACAGGAGUAGAUACCCUGGUAGUC
RNAcentral lists this ribosomal RNA (440 nucleotides) under uncultured bacterium. RNAcentral describes it as "partial 16S ribosomal RNA". It matches the Rfam family "Bacterial small subunit ribosomal RNA", at positions 338 to 795 of the family's 1533-position model. The record is from RNAcentral.